RNAcentral lists this long non-coding RNA (809 nucleotides) under Diabrotica virgifera virgifera (western corn rootworm). RNAcentral's name for it is "uncharacterized LOC126882791". Lineage: Eukaryota; Metazoa; Arthropoda; Insecta; Coleoptera; Chrysomelidae. The record is from RNAcentral.
UUUUGUAUACAAAAGAAAAUAUUGAUAUUUUAGUUAUUAAUCUUGGAUUUUGAGACUAUUUUAUACGUUUAUACUUGUUUAUUGUAUUCAUUUUUAAACAGCCAUAUUAUUUCCAGCAAAAGUUAUGGAACGUUUACAGAUAGUAAUAUUUAUAAUAAAACAAAUUACUUUCUGUUUGCUUCCUAUAUUUUAUAAAUUUUUAAAGCUUCCUCCCAGACUCAUUUGAGUAUAAGGUGGUUAAUUUUUCCGAAAUAAAUGGAAAGGAUGGCGCAUUUAAUGCAGUGAUUUGAGCUAAUAUAUAACAACACAAGGAGAUGCUCAAAAUUGUCAAAAAAAAUAUGAAAAUGUUAAUCAAGUAAAUUUUAGAGUUCUAAGAACUUAUCCAAAUGAUUAUAUGAAGCUUGUUUUCAAGAAAGACUAUCGAUGCCAUCACAAUACUCAGGCUAAUUUGCCUUCAUCAAAGACAAAAAAUCCGUCAUCUGAACAUGUUAACUGUCAGGCAUUUUUAUUAAGAAUUACAGUGAAACAAUCAAGUAUGAAAAGGUAAAGUCUAUUUGUUAUCUGAGACACAACUACUGUCUAGUGACGUUGGUAAUAUUUUUUGAGAAGUUAGGCUGCUAGACGCUAGACGUAACUGGAAAAGACUACACAACCAAAGAUAACUACUCGUAGCCAAUAUUAUUAUUAACAGUAAACAGGCAUAAAUAACAUAACCAAUCAAUAAUUAUUUAUUUACACCUAUAUAAUGUAUUGAUAACAGAUGAGAAAAGUAUUUAUUGUACAAAAUAAAAAUAUUUUAUAGAAAUAAA